RNAcentral lists this small nucleolar RNA (182 nucleotides) under Nothobranchius furzeri (turquoise killifish). RNAcentral describes it as "Small nucleolar RNA U3 (ENSNFUG00015009044.1)". It matches the Rfam family "Small nucleolar RNA U3". Rfam says of the family: Small nucleolar RNAs (snoRNAs) are involved in the processing and modification of rRNA in the nucleolus. There are two main classes of snoRNAs: the box C/D class, and the box H/ACA class. U3 snoRNA is a member of the box C/D class. The record is from Rfam by way of RNAcentral. Lineage: Eukaryota; Metazoa; Chordata; Actinopteri; Cyprinodontiformes; Nothobranchiidae.
AAGCAUGAACUUCCAGGAAUCAUUUCUGUAUUUACUAAUUUGAGAAAUGUAAAAUUUUAGACUUGACAUUAUCCUCUGAGCAUGAAACUGGCAAGAGUUAAUGAAUCUGUUCAUAAGACUCCUGCUAUUGAUAAUUGUUAUUUGCUUCUUCUUGAAGCCAUGAGGGGGAGAAUGAGAUCAGA